RNAcentral lists this long non-coding RNA (390 nucleotides) under Arabidopsis lyrata. RNAcentral describes it as "long non-coding RNA (ALYR_LNC003177)". The record is from RNAcentral. Lineage: Eukaryota; Viridiplantae; Streptophyta; Magnoliopsida; Brassicales; Brassicaceae.
UUUUCUUGUUUCAUGACAUGGCACUAAUAUAGAGAGAGUAGAUCAACUUUUAUAUAUAUGAUUUUAAUAACAUUAAUUCAAUGGAAAAAUAUAAAUUAACUAAUCACAAAAUUACACUCACUUCAAAUGGUAGUAAUUUAGACACUAAUUCUCUUUGAUAGUUUAAUAAUAUUUACUUAUUAUAAUAACAAAACAAUAAGUAUAACAUAAGAAUUUAUUUGAACAUCUUUAAUGUAAGUGUAAAUUGCUUACAAAAAUGAAAAUAUCAAACAACUACUCGUCGGAAUAUAUAAUGCUAGAGCAUCUUCAUUGGGAGGUUCUAAUUUAGAAACUCCUAUUAAUAAUAAAGAAAUAUUAACUUUUAUUCAAAUUUGUCUAGAAUCUAUUUUC